AUUGAACGCUGGCGGCAGGCCUAACACAUGCAAGUCGAACGGUAACAGGAAGAGGCUUGCUUCUUUGCUGACGAGUGGCGGGCGUGUGAGACAUGUCUGUGAAACUGCCUGAUGGAGGGGGAUAACUACUGGAAACGGUGGCUAAUACCGCAUAACUUCGCAAGACCAAAAAGGAGGACUGUCAGGCCGUUUGCCUUCCGCUUUUCCCUGAUGGGAUUAGCUAGUAGGUGGGGUAACGGCUCACCUAGGCGACGAUCCCUAGCUGGUCUGAGAGGAUGACCAGCCACACUGGAACUGAGACACGGUCCAGACUCCUACGGGAGGCAGCAGUGGGGAAUCUUGCGCAAUGGGCGCAAGCCUGAUGCAGCAAUGCCGCGUGUAUGAAGAAGGCCUUCGGGUUGUAAAGUACUUUCAGCGGGGAGGAAGGGAGUAAAGUUAAUACCUGCACUCAUUGACGUUACCCGCAGAGGAAGCACCGGCUGACUCCGUG
Molecule: ribosomal RNA, 490 nt
Filed under: uncultured bacterium
Lineage: Bacteria
Description: partial 16S ribosomal RNA
Rfam family: Bacterial small subunit ribosomal RNA
Source: RNAcentral